GAUGAAGAACGCAGUGAAAUGCGAUAAGUAGUGUGAAUUGCAGAAUUCAGUGAAUCAUCGAAUCUUUGAACGCACAUUGCGCCCCUUGGUAUUCCAUGGGGCAUGCCUGUUCGAGCGUCAUUUGUACCUUCAAGCUUUGCUUGGUGUUGGGUGUUUGUCCCGAGGGACUCGCCUUAAAGUAAUUGGCAGCCAGUGUUUGGUUUUGAAGCGCAGCACAAGUCGCGAUUCAAGGCUACACGCCCGCUUCCACAAGCCUUUUUUCACUUUUGACCUCGGAUCAGGUAGGGUUACCCGCUGAACUUAAGCAUAUCAAUAAGCGGAGGA
Molecule: unclassified non-coding RNA, 324 nt
Filed under: soil metagenome
Description: partial contains 5.8S ribosomal RNA, internal transcribed spacer 2, and large subunit ribosomal RNA
Rfam family: 5.8S ribosomal RNA (bases 1-120)
Source: RNAcentral